Molecule: long non-coding RNA, 944 nt
Filed under: Macaca mulatta (Rhesus monkey)
Lineage: Eukaryota; Metazoa; Chordata; Mammalia; Primates; Cercopithecidae
Description: lncRNA (ENSMMUG00000050661.1)
Source: RNAcentral
ACUCUGGGCUAGGAAAAAUGGGGCCCAUGAGAUCAGGACUGGGAGAGCUAAGACAGAGCAAAGGUCUUCCCAGUAGCUGUCCAUAACACGCGGACCAAGUUAAUUGCCCUGUUGGAAGAAUUAAGGAAAUGAUAUACUGAAGCAGCUAAUAUAAUGUCUGGCUCAAAAUGGAGAUUGAAAAGAUGUUGGCUCUCUUCUCCUUUCAGAUCAGGAUGGUAGGGGAAGCUUUGGAAGCAGACUUCUGACUACUAGAGAAGAAAACAAAACAAAACAAAACAAAACGGGGAAACACAGAUGUGUGUUUCUGGUGUGCAGAGAAGUUGAAUUUUCCAUUUUGGGGAGAGGCUUUUUUUUUGGUGGGGAGGAGGGAGCAAAGAUGGAGUGCCUACUUUAUUAUUAUUAUUAUUAUUAUCCCUCAGGUUUGCAGGUGAUGGAGAGAAUACCAAGACCUAGGCUCCCCGAUCUCCCUGCAUCCCUGUCAUUUUUGGCAAUGUCGCUAAUCGGCCCAGCAGCCCGAAUCCACACGCCCUGGCGUCCAGGCUCUGCAAGGUGCAGCUGGUCUCAGGCCCUGUCUCAGAAUACAGAAGUAAUCAGAAUUUAUUCACGUGGGCUGACUGAGAGUUUUGACAUCAAAGGGCAAUCCUGUCUGAUUGAUACCACUCAAAUGGCAAUGUUGUUUGAAGAAAUGUAGUUAGAGAGAUGACAAUUUAAAGGCUGUAAGAAGUUACGGGAAAAGUGAGUAUAACAUUCCAUACCGAUUUCUGACGUGUGAUACUACGUGGUGUUGAAUUGCCAGAAACUUGUCAAUUGGGUUUCCCAGAGAUUGAGUAUCUGAAAGGAAAGGGAGGAGGAAACGUGGUUUUCAGGCACCUUACAAACACCACAGUAAACUCUUUUUUUCCCCUGGGCUAGUCAUUGUGGUAAAUGAAGGCUUUGGUUUCUAA